RNAcentral lists this ribosomal RNA (253 nucleotides) under uncultured bacterium. RNAcentral describes it as "partial 16S ribosomal RNA". It matches the Rfam family "Bacterial small subunit ribosomal RNA", at positions 524 to 776 of the family's 1533-position model. The record is from RNAcentral.
UACGUAGGCAGCAAGCGUUGUUCGGAAUUACUGGGCGUAAAGAGUGUGUAGGCGGUGUUCUAAGUUUGUCGUGAAAUCUCCCGGCUUAACUGGGAGGGUGCGGCGAAAACUGGAAUGCUAGAGGAUGGGAGAGGUAAGCGGAAUUCCUGGUGUAGCGGUGAAAUGCGUAGAUAUCAGGAGGAGCACCUGUGGUGUAGACAGCUUACUGGACCAUUUCUGACGCUGAGACACGAAAGCGUGGGUAGCAAACAGG